AAAAAAGGUAAGCUACUAAGAGCGAAUGGUGGAUGCCUUGACUGGUAAAGGCGAUGAAGGACGUACUAGACUGCGAUAAGCUACGGGGAGCUGUCAAGAAGCUUUGAUCCGUAGAUUUCCGAAUGGGGCAACCCAAUGUAUAGAGAUAUACAUUACCUAUAUAGGAGCGAACGAGGGGAAUUGAAACAUCUUAGUACCCUCAGGAAAAGAAAUCAAUAGAGAUUGCGUCAGUAGCGGCGAGCGAAA
This 246-nucleotide ribosomal RNA is filed under the name Campylobacter coli. RNAcentral's name for it is "partial 23S ribosomal RNA". It matches the Rfam family "Bacterial large subunit ribosomal RNA", at positions 1 to 258 of the family's 2925-position model. Lineage: Bacteria; Pseudomonadati; Campylobacterota; Epsilonproteobacteria; Campylobacterales; Campylobacteraceae. RNAcentral also lists the same sequence under 1 other name. The record is from RNAcentral.